AUACGGAGGGUGCAAGCGUUAAUCGGAAUUACUGGGCGUAAAGCGUGCGUAGGUGGUUUGUUAAGUUAGAUGUGAAAGCCCCGGGCUCAACCUGGGAACUGCAUUUGAAACUGGCAUACUAGAGUAUAGGAGAGGAAAGUGGAAUUUCAGGUGUAGCGGUGAAAUGCGUAGAUAUCUGAAGGAACAUCAAUGGCGAAGGCAGCUUUCUGGACUAAUACUGACACUGAGGUACGAAAGCGUGGGUAGCAAACAGGAUUAGAAACCCCGGUAGUCC
RNAcentral lists this ribosomal RNA (274 nucleotides) under uncultured bacterium. Its description in RNAcentral is "partial 16S ribosomal RNA". It matches the Rfam family "Bacterial small subunit ribosomal RNA", at positions 523 to 796 of the family's 1533-position model. The record is from RNAcentral.